RNAcentral lists this long non-coding RNA (2222 nucleotides) under Sus scrofa (pig). RNAcentral's name for it is "lncRNA (ENSSSCG00025022240.1)". Lineage: Eukaryota; Metazoa; Chordata; Mammalia; Artiodactyla; Suidae. The record is from RNAcentral.
GUUCGCUGGCGCCCGGAUGUCUGAGCUCUGGCUCCGCUCUGGCUCCGGCUCCCUCCGCAGCCUGCGGGCGGGGCUCCCAGCCCAUCCGGAGCCUCGCGGCGCCCCUGCCGCUCUGCCAGCAGCGCGGCCUCCCGGUUCCCAGCCUCCCGGCCUGGGGGGCCCCCCCGCCCAGCCGAGUUGCUGACCCGACUGCUUUCCCGCUGCCCCCAGCUGCGCUCGGGCCGCUGCAGCCUCGGCGCGCCCCCACCCCGCUUCCUGCCUCGGCAGCUUUGCCCGGACCGGGCGGCCGCCCUGGAUCGCACCCCGUUCCUUCCUUCCUUCAUUCUUUCAGGCAACUCGCAUUCCUCGAGCGCCUGCGACGUGCCCCGUACAAGGCCUCUCCGACCUUCGGAGUGUGGCCCACCGGGGUCCUCCCAGAAGCCUCUGCCCUCCUCACCCCGCCCUGGACUCUCCUCUCUGAUGUCCUGUUUCACUCAGAGGGUAGCAUUUAAUUGUUCUCUGAUUAUUUCUCCUGUUAAGGGUCAGUCGGUGGCAAGGUCAAGGGAGGGCUUUGUGACCGAAAUCAGGGGUCAGUCUGAAAGUAGGGUGAGGGAUCAGAAUGUGGCCAGAGUUGGGGUUCAGCCAAACCGUGGCAGGAUUUGGAGAUAGUGUGGGUAGGAGUUGGCAGCGCUCUGUCUAUGGCCAGGCUUUAUAGACAGGGAGGGUGUGAGGGUUAGUGUGAAUAGCAUCAGUAGCCAAGAUUAGUGAGUCAGUCUUUCGGUAGGGUCAGUGGACAAUCUGGAUCAGGGUAAUAGGUCACCCAGAGACCAGGAUUUGGGGGUUGACUUUGACAAGCCAGUUAAGGGGAGGAGGGCGCUGUAGCUUUCUGAACUCACAUUAGUGGUUCCUCUGUGGGCAGGGGGUGGGGGUGGUGGUGACCAUAGCUUCCCCCUGCAUCGUCCAGGUGGAGCUGGCCUUCCGUCUAGGACACUCAUUGUCCUCAACAACACCCUGCUUUGAUCAUGUGCCAGAUGUAGGGGAGGGGUAGGUAAGGGGGGCAAAACUCUCAUUGGAUCAGACCAUGGUCAGAAUGGCAGUAACACUGGCCAUGGCAGGGAGGCCCUAGGUGUCCCAGGAACCCCAUCUUGGAGUCACCCAUGUUUAACAGGGCCCCUGGCAGGUCUUACAGUGGGACCAGAUGUAUGAAGGCAUUGACUUAAAAAAUAUGCACAACCUUAAAGCUCUUUUAAAUCUUUGUACAAACCAACGCCGCAUAGAAUGGUCUUCAAACAGCCAUCACAGCCCUGCUGUGCUUUCUGUGAGUUCGGGAAUCAGACAGAUGCUGGUUGAAAAUGCGGGCUUUGUCGUCUAGCAGCUUUCCCAUCACAGGUAAGUCAUUUAUGCUCCCAGAGCCUCCGUGGUUACUGUGAUGAUUCAAGUAGAUGACAUAUGUAAAGCACCUGGCACUUGGGAGGCCCUGGGUGACCCCCCACCCCAGGGCCUGCUGGGCAUGGUUGUCAGAUUCCUCACAGAAUUCUUCCAUCAUCUCUCCUGGUGGUGGUGUGGUUGGCCCAGUCCAGUCACAGCAUCUCAGCACUGCCUGUCCAGCCUCUGUGCUCUUCAGAGCCCUUCCACACACAUGCAGGAGUAUCUGAUCAGCAGGACAGCUCGGUGCAGGGACUGAAAAACUGGGGCUGCACCCCGGGGUCCCCACUCUUAGGCUCUGCCACUUCGAACAAGCUCUUUCACCUCUCUGAGCCUCAGAGAGCCACCACAGAGCCCUGCUGAGGGUUUAGUGAGGAACUAAAGGCAAGCAUCUAGGGGCCUGCUAGCACGUGGAGGCACUCAGUAAGUCAGAGGCAGAGUUAGGAAUAGUCCUAUUUCACAGAAGAAGAAACUGAGUCCCUCAGGGGGUAAGUGAUUCAUCCAGUGUCAUGUGGAAAGAUCCCUUCACAGACCUGGGAUUAAAAACCACAUCUUCAGAGUUCCCCUUUGUGGCUCAGCAGGUUAAGAACCCAACAAUUGUCUGUGAGGAUGUGGGUUCAAUCCGGGGCCUUGCUCGGUGAGUUAAGGGUCUGGCAUUGCCACAAGCUGUGGUGUAGGUGGCAGAUGAGGCUCAGAGCUGGCAUUGCUGUGCCUGUGGUGUAGGCCAGUAGCUGCAGCUCAGAUUUGACCCCUAGCCGGGGAACUUCAAUGUGCCGCAGGUACAGCCAUUAAAACAAAACAAAACAAAACAAAAAAAA